CAGGGGUGGGCAAAGUGUGGCCUAUGGAUGACCACCAAAGCUGUUCUUGUGGCCCUUGGUGGUGCUCCUAAAUGCCACCUAGGGAGCAUUUUGCCAUAUUUUAGACCCAGAAAAGGCCUUUCAAAGAACCAAAAGUAAAUCAAACGUCCACUUGACAACAAUGCAAGUAGAUCUUGCAGUGCUGAUGUUCAUUCAUCUCUGUUCUGUGGCACUGGACAGGGAACUGUCUUCUGCCAUCUUAGCUGUUCUUGGUUGCCUGUCCUGACCAUCCCUUCCCUGUUGCACCAACAUCUUUGCUUUCUCUCUGACCAGGACCAGGAGAAGGCCUUGGACAAGUAUGACGAUGUGGUGACCUCCCUGCAGAAGCGCAGCCAGCAAGUCCUCCCUCUCAGGUACCGCCGGGAGACCCCCCUCAAACCCAUCCCAGUGGAAGCUCUCUGUGACUAUGAAAGUGAUCAGUGCCACCUCUCUCGCGGAGCAACAUACACAUUGCACAAGAAUAAUGGUGACAAGUGGGAGGUAACGGACAGUGCUGGAAAUGUGAUCAAUGCACCGGGCGUCUGCUUCAUGAUUCCCCCUACGGAUCCUGAAUCGCUGACCCUUUCUGAUAACAUUACUGGCCAGCACCAGAGCGUAAAACAGAAGAUAGGUGGCACAAAGAAGCUUCUGCAGCAGAGAUACGAAACGCUGAAGGCUGAUGGCAUUGGAG
This is a long non-coding RNA of Sceloporus undulatus (fence lizard), 709 nucleotides long. RefSeq lists it as uncharacterized. NCBI's taxonomy places the organism in Eukaryota, Metazoa, Chordata, Lepidosauria, Squamata, Phrynosomatidae. The transcript is spliced from 3 exons. The record is from RefSeq and is a predicted model, not a curated record.